RNAcentral lists this ribosomal RNA (498 nucleotides) under uncultured bacterium. Its description in RNAcentral is "partial 16S ribosomal RNA". It matches the Rfam family "Bacterial small subunit ribosomal RNA", at positions 30 to 523 of the family's 1533-position model. The record is from RNAcentral.
AUUGAACGCUGGCGGCAUGCCUUACACAUGCAAGUCGAACGGUAACAGGUCUUCGGAUGCCGACGAGUGGCGAACGGGUGAGUAAUACAUCGGAACGUGCCUAGUAGUGGGGGAUAACUACUCGAAAGAGUGGCUAAUACCGCAUGAGAUCUACGGAUGAAAGCAGGGGAUCGCAAGACCUUGCGCUACUAGAGCGGCCGAUGGCAGAUUAGGUAGUUGGUGGGAUAAAAGCUUACCAAGCCGACGAUCUGUAGCUGGUCUGAGAGGACGAUCAGCCACACUGGGACUGAGACACGGCCCAGACUCCUACGGGAGGCAGCAGUGGGGAAUUUUGGACAAUGGGCGAAAGCCUGAUCCAGCAAUGCCGCGUGCAGGAUGAAGGCCUUCGGGUUGUAAACUGUUUUUGUACGGAACGAAAAGCCCCGGGUUAAUACCCUGGGGUCAUGACGGUACCGUAAGAAUAAGCACCGGCUAACUACGUGCCAGCCGCCGCCGUAA